AGUUGUUUUGUGCGGUAAGCGAAUGAUUAGCGUAUUUGGGGGCGAUUAGCCUUCGGACGAUUCUCAAACUUUCAAUGCGCAAGGGUGUUGCUGCUUAAUUGAGCUUCACCGGUAAAAACGUCGGCCCUGUGGGCCACUUUUGGUAAGCAGAACUGGCGAUACGGGAUGAACCGUAAGCAUGGUUAAGGUGCCAAACUAUUCGCUUAUAGAUCCCACAAAAGGUGUUGAUUCAUCGAGACAGCAGGACGGUGGCCAUGGAAGUCGGAAUCCGCCAAGGAGUGUGUAACAACUCACCUGCCGAAUGAAUUAGCCCUGAAAAUGGAUGGCGCUUAAGCGGAUGACCGACACCAUGCCGUCUGAAUGAUAUAUUUCAGAUGAGUAGGAGGACGUGGUGAUUGUAACGAAGUAUGUGUGCGAACACGUAUAGAACGAUCACUAGUGCAGAUCUUGGUGGUAGUAGCAAAUAUUCAAGCGAGAUCCUUGAAGGGCGAAGCGGGGAAGGGUUCCACGCUAACAUUGAUUGGGCGUGGGUGAGUCGUUCCUAAGCCGAGUGGCAAUUGCUAAGUAACGGCGAAAGGGAAGCAGGUUUACAUUCCUGCACACGGAUGUGGAGGUGGUGACACUUUAUUGAGGCGAACACAUUGGCGAUGGCGCUAGGCAGAGUUGUCUUUUCUGUUUAACCGUUUGUAUAUAUUGUGUGGAGUCCGAUUAUCGGGAGAAACACAUAUAUACGGGCAGAGCGCCGGGGCUUAUCCGGCGUCUAGCUCGCCAUCGACGAUCCUUGAAACUUUGCCUGCUGAAAUUUUAAUAUCCACGCCGUGGCGUACCGAUCACCGCAUCAGGUCCCCGAGGUGAACAGCCUCUGCUCAAUAUGAAAAAUGCAGGUAAGGGAAGUCGGCAAAUUAGACCCGUAACUUUGGGAAAAGGGUUGGCUCUAGUGCUGCGUGGGAGUGGUUGUCAUGUUGUGGCGUUAUUGAUAUUGUUGAUAUGGCGCGAUACUUCGGUAUUGUUCUUUUCGACUGAUAUUGGUAAUACUGCUCUUGACGACGCCCACAGCAUGCAGCAAACUAGAACUGCAACGGGCAAAGGGAAUCCGACUGUUUAAUUAAAACAAAGCAUUGCGAGGGCCGUGGC
This 1134-nucleotide ribosomal RNA is filed under the name Pterocladiella caerulescens. RNAcentral describes it as "eukaryotic LSU rRNA". It matches the Rfam family "Eukaryotic large subunit ribosomal RNA", at positions 994 to 2174 of the family's 3401-position model. The record is from RNAcentral. Lineage: Eukaryota; Rhodophyta; Florideophyceae; Gelidiales; Pterocladiaceae.